Molecule: ribosomal RNA, 701 nt
Filed under: uncultured bacterium
Lineage: Bacteria
Description: bacterial SSU rRNA
Rfam family: Bacterial small subunit ribosomal RNA
Source: RNAcentral
CUUUACUUAGCGGCGGACGGGUGAGUAACACGUGGGCAACCUACCCUAUGGAGGGGAAUAACAGGGAGAAAUCUUUGCUAAUACCGCAUAGAUCCAAGGUUUUGCAUAAAGCUUUGGAGAAAGGAGAAAUCCGCCAUAGGAUGGGCCCGCGUCCCAUUAGCUAGUUGGUGAGAUAACAGCCCACCAAGGCGACGAUGGGUAGCCGACCUGAGAGGGUGAACGGCCACAUUGGAACUGAGACACGGUCCAGACUCCUACGGGAGGCAGCAGUGGGGAAUAUUGCACAAUGGGGGGAACCCUGAUGCAGCAACGCCGCGUGAGCGAUGAAGGUCUUCGGAUUGUAAAGCUCUGUCUUCGCUGACGAUAAUGACGGUAAGCGAGGAGGAAGCCACGGCUAACUACGUGCCAGCAGCCGCGGUAAUACGUAGGUGGCGAGCGUUGUCCGGAAUUACUGGGCGUAAAGGGUGCGUAGGCGGUUUUUUAAGUGGGAUGUGAAAUCCUGAGGCUUAACUUCAGAAUUGCAUUCCAAACUGGAAGGCUAGAGUACAGGAGAGGAAAGCGGAAUUCCCAGUGUAGCGGUGAAAUGCGUAGAGAUUGGGAGGAACACCAGUGGCGAAGGCGGCUUUCUGGACUGUAACUGACGCUGAGGCACGAAAGCGUGGGGAGCAAACAGGAUUAGAUACCCUGGUAGUCCACGCCGU